Long non-coding RNA from Chelonia mydas (Green sea turtle), 657 nucleotides. RefSeq lists it as uncharacterized. The record is from RefSeq and is a predicted model, not a curated record. The transcript has 2 exons. Lineage: Eukaryota; Metazoa; Chordata; Testudines; Cheloniidae.
AUUCGACGAAGACAUCCAAACACCUCUCUGUGAAAUGUUUUCAGAGUGCAUCCCCUGCUGAAAAUCUCCUCUAAGGUGAACUGUGAAGGACCCUUGAAUGACCAGCAUUUCCUCCUGCCAAGCAUGUCAUCCAGGAAAAGAGACAAUGUUACCCACUAGAUCAGGACCAUCAGCUCUCCAGCAGCAGGAGGCAUCCACAUGAAGUAUCCCUACCUCCCUCUAGGGCAGCACAACUCCAGCAGGAGUUAUAGGACCACUGCUUGUGCCCUGUGGCUGCUUAGUAACAGCUGCAAAAGAGAUCAAGAGGAAAGUCAAAUGGCUUCAUGAAGCAUUGAAUUUUGCUUGGAUAUUCACAUGGUUAGCAGAGGAUGUUGCUUCAGAAAAUAGCUAGUCCCCUAUUCUGCCUAUUCCUAGCCCAGCCCAACACACCAUGCUAUUCAGAAAUCCCUUCCAUCUCCCACUGUGAGCGGUGGGUGUAUUGUCCUUCUCUUGAUUAUUUUGGCAAAUUGUUUUAAUAUUUCAUCUCCUUUUUCUGUUAAUUAAGUGUUGACAGAAUGGCCGAUUAGCUCCUUCCCUAAAUUCAGCACUGAAGAACUUGUUUUUGGCUAUGACAUUGCUUGUGUUAUGCUGAAAUAAAAUAGAAAACAGUAGCUGUCA